Molecule: long non-coding RNA, 404 nt
Filed under: Bos taurus (domestic cattle)
Lineage: Eukaryota; Metazoa; Chordata; Mammalia; Artiodactyla; Bovidae
Description: long non-coding RNA NONBTAT023532
Source: RNAcentral
GUGAAAAGCAUUUUGAUAGUGAAUACAUCCAUUCCUUCAUAAAAUAAUAAUAAUAAUGCUAAAAGCAUUAGAAAGAUACUGUAAACCAGUGAUAGAAAAGGGGACACAGAGAGGGGCAGGGGGAAAGGGCCAUAUUUUCAAAGAUUUUCUUCCGCAUCUGCAGACAAAGGCCCACCUACUCUUUCUAUUCCUACACAGUCAUUUUCACCCUGAGUGCUAACAGGCGGUUGCCUUAUGAAAUAUUCAUGUGUCAAAUAUUCAAUGUACAUUAUAAAUGGUUCUUCUUUUGCUGAGUCUAAAGUGAAAACAAUUUAGAAAAUUCGAUAUUCAUUCCUGUAACCCUGCUUAAUAGACACUGGCACUUUGAAGGGAUGGUGGCCUUCUGGUUUGAGAAGUGAUGACAA